This 73-nucleotide transfer RNA is filed under the name Pirellulaceae bacterium. RNAcentral describes it as "tRNA-Arg". It matches the Rfam family "tRNA". From Rfam's summary of the family: Transfer RNA (tRNA) molecules are approximately 80 nucleotides in length. Their secondary structure includes four short double-helical elements and three loops (D, anti-codon, and T loops). The record is from RNAcentral. Lineage: Bacteria; Pseudomonadati; Planctomycetota; Planctomycetia; Pirellulales; Pirellulaceae.
GCGCCUGUAGCUCAGGGGAUAGAGCAACGGUUUCCUAAACCGUAGGUCGGAGGUUCGAAUCCUCUCAGGCGUG